RNAcentral lists this unclassified non-coding RNA (2188 nucleotides) under Megachile rotundata (alfalfa leafcutting bee). RNAcentral describes it as "poly(A) RNA polymerase gld-2 homolog A-like, transcript variant X3". Lineage: Eukaryota; Metazoa; Arthropoda; Insecta; Hymenoptera; Megachilidae. The record is from RNAcentral.
UGAAAUUAUUAAUUUAUAUGUUAUUUAUUCAGUAAUUAAUCAGUAUCAGUAUCAUUAGAACUAUAUUGAUUAAGUAUAUUCGAUGAAUUAUAUUCUUCUCUAUCAGUUACAAAUAAUAAAUAUAUUUUUACUGAGACAAUAUAAGUAAGGGAAACAUUUCAAAAUAUGUUAAUGCUAGAUAGAGAAUUAUCUGUGAAUCAAUUUUAUUUUGGAAUUUAAAUUUGGUAUAUAUUGUAAAUAAUAUUCGGUAUAGUCAAUGAAUUAUAUAUUAUAAUAAUUAUACUGCUAAAAAUUAUAAAGUUUCUUGUAGAAUUAAGUAACAUAUUUUGUAGUAUUUUAUACAUUAUUUUUGACUAUGUAUCACACUAUGUAUCCACCACAAAUAAUGGUGCAGAUAAUGGGAGGCCAACAGGCAAAUGGACAGUGUCCCCCAGUUCAAACACACACGAUGCACACUCAUGGUGCAAGUGCAUUUCUUCAAUCUGAAUAUUUAAAGUAUCACUCAGAUACCUGUGCACAAAAUAGACACCAAAUGAUACAGACAGGAUCUUGUCCAGUGGAAUUACUGCAAUUGAUGGGUGUUGAAAUACCUUCUCUAAGGCGUAUAGAUUAUAUACAAUCAAAUAAUGGAAUGUCUCCUGGACAGUGGCAAAGACGGGUGAAUACAUCAAAUAAUACACCUAUUAUACCCUCUCCACAUCUUACUUUUAGGCCAAAUAAUAAUGGUUUAGUAAAAAAAUCAAGUUGGUAUAACAAAAUCAGCAAAAGAAAUUCGUUUAGAGAAUCAUUUGCAAAGAAUGAAAAGUAUGGCAGUGAUAGUGGUUUCAGUUCUCGAUCUCCAACACCAAACAAGUAUCACAUUGAUAGUAGUCAAACAGAAAGCUCAGAUGAGCGAGAUUCUGUAAUUUCUUCAGUUGAACAAAGUAUGAAAACAUUAUUUUGUAGAAAGUCACAUAAAAUACAUUCAAGUAAUAUUACAAACAAUAGAAUAAUGCAAUAUGGUAUAUUUUCAAAUACUUCCACAAAUCAAUAUUACCAACAUCAAAAACCUGUUAAUUAUUAUCCUGCUGCAAUGUCAACAUCUAGAAUUCAAGUGCAAACUUAUCAGAAUAAGAGAAGAUAUCAUUCAGGAAGGAAUAGUCCACCUCCACAAAGAUUGCAAAGAAAUAGAAAAUAUAUGGGGUUAUUGGCACCAAAUUAUAACACAUUUCCUAGGUAUGGAAUUGCACCAGAUCGAUUCCUUGCUAGGUCACAUUUAGUUGAAGUAACUCAUGUACCGGAUGAGUUGAUUAAUGGUUCAAUUUGGGAUAAUUUAUCGAAAGAUGUUUUUUCAAAAUUUAUGGUCAAUCAACAAACUGAAACCAUCUACAGAAAUAAAAUGAUGCUUUGGAGAUAUCUUUAUGUUUACAUCAAGACUGCAUUUCCAAAAUAUGGAUUGUUUCUGGUUGGAUCUACAAUGAAUGGUUUUGGAUCUGAUAACAGUGACGUUGACAUGUGUCUUUUAGUGAGGCAUACAGAAAUGGAUCAAAGAAAUGAAGCUAUUGGACAUUUAGAACAAAUAUUAAAAUGUCUUAGAAGAUGUGAAUUUAUAGAACAACUGGAACUCAUACAAGCAAAAGUACCAAUCCUAAAGUUCCAUGAUUCUAUACAAAAUUUGGAAGUCGACUUAAAUUGUAACAAUGCUGUUGGUAUUCGAAAUACUCAUUUGUUGUAUUGCUAUUCUCGAAUUGACUGGAGAGUGAGACCGUUGGUACUGGUAGUUAAACUUUGGGCUCAAUCUCAAGAUAUUAACGAUGCCAAGAACAUGACAAUAUCUAGUUAUUCGUUAGUUCUGAUGGUUAUCCAUUUUUUGCAGUGUAUGUAUCUUUGUGUGCAUACCUAUGUGGUGUUAAUCCACCAGUUCUACCAUGUUUGCAUUCUCUCUACGAAGGUAAAUUUUCACCGCACACGGACAUACAUUGUAUAGAUAUCCAAGAAGAGUUAGACAUUCCUGCCUCCGUACUUCGUCCUAAAAAUCGACAAUCAUUAGGGGAGCUCUUCGUUGAAUUUUUUCGAUAUUACGUGAUGUUUGAUUUCAAUCAGUACGCAAUAUCGAUACGUUUGGCUAGUAAAAUACCGAUAGAGGAGUGUCGAAGAGCACGGUCUUAUAAGAAUGAUCCCCAUCAGUGGAAGUAUUUAUGCAUCGAAG